UGGGGAAUUUUGGACAAUGGGCGAAAGCCUGAUCCAGCAAUGCCGCGUGUGUGAAGAAGGCCUUCGGGUUGUAAAGCACUUUUGUCCGGAAAGAAAUCCUUGGCUCUAAUACAGUCGGGGGAUGACGGUACCGGAAGAAUAAGCACCGGCUAACUACGUGCCAGCAGCCGCGGUAAUACGUAGGGUGCAAGCGUUAAUCGGAAUUACUGGGCGUAAAGCGUGCGCAGGCGGUUUGCUAAGACCGAUGUGAAAUCCCCGGGCUCAACCUGGGAACUGCAUUGGUGACUGGCAGGCUAGAGUAUGGCAGAGGGGGGUAGAAUUCCACGUGUAGCAGUGAAAUGCGUAGAGAUGUGGAGGAAUACCGAUGGCGAAGGCAGCCCCCUGGGCCAAUACUGACGCUCAUGCACGAAAGCGUGGGGAGCAAACAGGAUUAGAUACCCUGGUAGUCCACGCCCUAAAACGAUGCCAACUGGUUGUUGGGGAUUCAUUUCCUUAGUAACGU
This 502-nucleotide ribosomal RNA is filed under the name uncultured bacterium. RNAcentral describes it as "partial 16S ribosomal RNA". It matches the Rfam family "Bacterial small subunit ribosomal RNA", at positions 355 to 849 of the family's 1533-position model. The record is from RNAcentral.